Molecule: ribosomal RNA, 257 nt
Filed under: uncultured bacterium
Lineage: Bacteria
Description: partial 16S ribosomal RNA
Rfam family: Bacterial small subunit ribosomal RNA
Source: RNAcentral
UACGGAGGAUCCAAGCGUUAUCCGGAUUUAUUGGGUUUAAAAGGGUGCGUAGGUGGUUUAUUAAGUCAGGGGGUGAAAGACGGCAGCUUAACUGUCGCAGUGCCUUUGAUACUGAUGAACUUGAAUAAACUAGAGGUAGGCGGAAUGUGACAAGUAGCGGUGAAAUGCAUAGAUAUGUCACAGAACACCAAUUGCGAAGGCAGCUUACUAUGGUUUGAUUGACACUGAGGCACGAAAAGCGUGGGGGAUCAAACAGG